This 495-nucleotide ribosomal RNA is filed under the name uncultured bacterium. RNAcentral's name for it is "partial 16S ribosomal RNA". It matches the Rfam family "Bacterial small subunit ribosomal RNA", at positions 28 to 505 of the family's 1533-position model. The record is from RNAcentral.
GAUGAACGCUGGCGGCGUGCCUAAUACAUGCAAGUCGAGCGAACGGACGAGAAGCUUGCUUCUCUGAUGUUAGCGGCGGACGGGUGAGUAACACGUGGAUAACCUACCUAUAAGACUGGGAUAACUUCGGGAAACCGGAGCUAAUACCGGAUGAUAUUUUGAACCGCAUGGUUCAAAAGUGAAAGACGGUCUUGCUGUCACUUAUAGAUGGAUCCGCGCUGCAUUAGCUAGUUGGUAAGGUAACGGCUUACCAAGGCAACGAUGCAUAGCCGACCUGAGAGGGUGAUCGGCCACGCUGGAACUGAGACACGGUCCAGACUCCUACGGGAGGCAGCAGUAGGGAAUCUUCCGCAAUGGGCGAAAGCCUGACGGAGCAACGCCGCGUGAGUGAUGAAGGUCUUCGGAUCGUAAAACUCUGUUAUUAGGGAAGAACAUAUGUGUAAGUAACUGUGCACAUCUUAACGGUACCUAAUCAGAAAGCCACGGCUAACUACG